RNAcentral lists this ribosomal RNA (373 nucleotides) under uncultured bacterium. RNAcentral describes it as "bacterial SSU rRNA". It matches the Rfam family "Bacterial small subunit ribosomal RNA", at positions 521 to 896 of the family's 1533-position model. The record is from RNAcentral.
UAAUACGAAGGUCCCAAGCGUUAUCCGGAUUUAUUGGGUUUAAAGGGUGCGUAGGCGGCUUAUUAAGUCAGUGGUGAAAGCCCCAAGCUUAACUUGGGAACUGCCAUUGAUACUGAUGAGCUUGAGUAGAUUUGAGGCGGGCGGAAUGUGUCGUGUAGCGGUGAAAUGCUUAGAUAUGACACAGAACACCAAUUGCGUAGGCAGCUCGCUAAACUCUUACUGACGCUGAGGCACGAAAGCAUGGGGAUCAAACAGGAUUAGAUACCCUGGUAGUCCAUGCCCUAAACGAUGAUUACUCGAUGUGUGCGAUACACUGUACGCGUCUGAGCGAAAGCAUUAAGUAAUCCACCUGGGGAGUACGGUCGCAAGACUG